RNAcentral lists this long non-coding RNA (1246 nucleotides) under Elaeis guineensis (African oil palm). Its description in RNAcentral is "long non-coding RNA (EGUI_LNC043964)". The record is from RNAcentral. Lineage: Eukaryota; Viridiplantae; Streptophyta; Magnoliopsida; Arecales; Arecaceae.
GGUGGAUUACGAUAUUUUCAUUUCCUUAUGGAAUUGGAAUAGGAAUGAGACUUCUCUCGAUUAAAUGGCUGGAAUACAAGUUGCCUGUUGUGGACCUCCACUUUGGCCUCGAUCGAUUAAGUCCUCGGCCUUCUCCAAGGACCAUCAGAGUUCGUAUUUCAGUAGACACAAGAGCAGAUAUAAGAGGGUGCUUCCAGCUGUAGACAUGGAAAUCGGAACCAACAUGUUUGCAGGGCAAUCACUAGACUGCAGCUUGGACCUCGGCCAUGGCCAAGGUGUGCGAAGGUCGGCCAAAGCCGAGCUUAGGAAGAUAUGCAGAGCAACAGCAACUAAUAUAUGAAAAGUCCACCACUGUCAUAAUUUUGGAAAGUCCAGAUAAGGAAGGUAUCGCCCAAUUUGAAUCACAUCCCGAAUGGAAAUAACUGCUGCCAGCAUGAUCCAUGUGCAAUAACAAAAAAUCGGUUAGUCUCCUAGGUAUGCAUGACUCCAAUUCCUCCUCUAUAAAUAGAGGGGCACAGAAACUCCCAAGGUAAGCACUUGAAGUAUCAUUUUCUCCUUCUUAUUCUUCAUCUCUUAACUUGAGCAUCAGAGGAUCUUCACAGAAAAACACCCUGAUCAGGACUUUUUGCAGAUCUCCAGGUAGCCUUCGGAGAUCACCGUGCUACACCACUCAAGCACCACAACUGAAGAGAUCGUCUAUGAUCUCAGACAUGGGAUUUGAUAGCAAUAGUUGGUGCUAGAGGAAGGACCCUCAAAUUUUAGUUUUGAGGCUUGAACUUGAGGAGGAGAGACUCACCAUGAGGUUGUAAAGAGGAGAAUCGAAUGCAACUCAUCGAUCGAACAGAGCACGGACCAACAAUGAUCGCCAAGAGGAUGAAGCACCCGAGCCGAUUCAAGAGAAUCCUCCCCCAUAACCAGUGUUAGUAAUUUUGAACGAACAGUACAACAGCUUUGUCCCGUAGGUACAGGGUGUGUCUAUUGCAGUGCAGAGGAUGCAGCAAACCACUGCACCUCAGCCUCCCUCGAAGAUCCCACAAGACAAUGCCAUACCAAUAAACUAACCUUCACCCCCAUGUAGUCCAAGACCAGGUGCCAGCCGCCUUAGUCGACCAACUAGUCCUAUCUGAAGAAGACACAAGUGCUCACUAACCCCACUGUUGAGGAGGGAUACUACACCAGGCAACUUUUUUCCUCAUCAUCAUUUUGCUUGGGAGGAUGACAUGGAAAGAAAGCUCUAAGAGAUGCA